CCGGAAAACGACGAUUGGCCAUGUGAUUGUGAAAGUGAAACUAGAACACGCGAGUGAUUUCUCACUGUUCAGAAACCCUGAGUCAACGAGUUGGCAGAGUUGAAUAUUGCCAAUAACCUCAGUAGCAAAAGAAGAAAUAUUGGUAUAUGUAUGUGUAAAACCAAUGUAAAGAAUAUUCUAUACCGCAGCAGAAAAAAGAAAAGAAAUAGAAGGUCUCUAGGCAUCUGAAGACUUUUCUGUGUAU
Mytilus trossulus (common blue mussel) is the source of this 244-nucleotide long non-coding RNA. RefSeq lists it as uncharacterized. NCBI's taxonomy places the organism in Eukaryota, Metazoa, Mollusca, Bivalvia, Mytilida, Mytilidae. The transcript has 4 exons. The record is from RefSeq and is a predicted model, not a curated record.